Molecule: long non-coding RNA, 326 nt
Filed under: Elaeis guineensis (African oil palm)
Lineage: Eukaryota; Viridiplantae; Streptophyta; Magnoliopsida; Arecales; Arecaceae
Description: long non-coding RNA (EGUI_LNC065200)
Source: RNAcentral
CUCUUCUAGAUAUUCUCUUCCUUUGGGGCAUCCAAGGUUUUUGAAGAAAGAAAAGGAAGAAAUUAGCCUCGAAGAUCCUUGCAAACUAUCACUUUCAAAGAGCCUGAUCUGCGCCGAUCUUCAUGUGGAUAUUCUGUAGAGGUCGGACGACUUCAUGUGGCUGUGAGCAAUCUGAAGGAGCACCUAUCCAAGUUUGGACCAGUAGAGAUCAUCAACAUAUACUUCGAUAAUUAUUUCUGAACUUAUUUGAUCAUUUUUGAUAGAUCUAAGGGUUAGAUCUAGAUUGCAGCACCGAUUAGAUCAAUGUAAGUUUUAUUUUUAGAUCU